Molecule: long non-coding RNA, 377 nt
Filed under: Elaeis guineensis (African oil palm)
Lineage: Eukaryota; Viridiplantae; Streptophyta; Magnoliopsida; Arecales; Arecaceae
Description: long non-coding RNA (EGUI_LNC026717)
Source: RNAcentral
AAAACCUAAUAUUUUUCUUCCAUAUCGCCCCCAUUAACACGUUGCUAUGAUACGCCAGCCAUGUGAAGAGCUUAACUUUUCUGGGAGGGGUGAUUUCCCCAAGGUUUUGGCAAAGGUAGGGGUUUCUCCACCAUGAAACGUCUCAGAAAGACUCCGUUUCCAAGCCAGCAUGUCAUUUUCUGAAGUCAACUCCACUGUACGAAGAAGAUUUUCUAGAUUUUGCUAUUCAUGUCUUCCUCUCAUUGUCGGAGAUGUGAGGCUUUCGUUGUUGCAAAGGUAGUUGUUGAGAACAAGGGACACCGAGUCCCUUUGGUUCUCACUGUGAACCCAGCAAUCGUGCCAGAAGGUGAAUUCUUGCCCGGAUCCAAUAGUAAAAG